RNAcentral lists this unclassified non-coding RNA (362 nucleotides) under Hevea brasiliensis (rubber tree). The record is from RNAcentral. Lineage: Eukaryota; Viridiplantae; Streptophyta; Magnoliopsida; Malpighiales; Euphorbiaceae.
UCAAUUCAAAACUUAAAUGCUAAUUCAAGGAUGACUUUUUAAAAAAAUGAUUACAUAAAAUUAUUUCAAGAACUAAGAACCAAACCCGAACCGUACCGAACUGAACCGGAACUGAAGAACCGAGAACCGAGAACCGUACUAAACCGGAACUAAAAUAAUGAAGAACCAAAUUAGAAUCAUGCCGAAAUUUCGGUUCUGUUUGGUUCCUAGGCAGACCCGAACUGAACCGAAAUUGAACACGCCUAGUAUUUAUUUAUGCCUAAAUUAUAAGGAUGUAAAUAAUUUAGCCUAAGGUCUAAGCCAAGAGCACAGUUAUUAAAGGUGUGCCUUAGACACGCCUCAGGCUCCAGGCUCACUAGGCU